UGUAAACCUAGUUCUUGAUGUACC
This 24-nucleotide non-coding RNA is filed under the name Arabidopsis thaliana (thale cress). Lineage: Eukaryota; Viridiplantae; Streptophyta; Magnoliopsida; Brassicales; Brassicaceae. The record is from RNAcentral.